Molecule: long non-coding RNA, 1009 nt
Filed under: Marmota monax (woodchuck)
Lineage: Eukaryota; Metazoa; Chordata; Mammalia; Rodentia; Sciuridae
Source: RNAcentral
GUGACUAAAUACUGUCAAAUCACAUGCCUAGGGAAGAAUUUACUUUUGAUUAUUUUUCUUGUUUCUGGCAUCAAUUUAUAGGAGUUCACGAUUUUGAGACUCAAACCUUCAAGAAGAAAUUCUAAUUGCACUAACCCUGCCAAGUUGGGUAGGGAAAAUAAGAAUUUAGUAAAAAGAAGUUUAGCUGGGCCAGGCAUGGUGGUGCACACCUGUAAUUGCAGUGGCUCGGGAGGCUGAGGCAGGAGGAUCUUGAAUUCAAACCAGCCUUAACAAAAGUGAGAUGCUGUCUCUGAUAAAACACAAAAUAGGGCUGGGGAUAUGGCUCAGUGGUUGAGUACUCCUGAGUUCAAUUUCCAGUACCAAAAAAUAAAGAAGUUUAGCUGGGUGUGGUAGUACACACCCCUUUGGAGUAUUGGAACUCAGAGUCACUCAUAUUAUUAGGAUAGGAAUCCUAAUAAUACUAACUUUAGAAUUUAAAAUGUUUUGAAUAAUGUAUGUAAGGAAAUACCUAGUAGCCUGUUUUGAAAAUUAUUCUUUUUAUAAUCUUGCAUAUAAUAAAGGAAAUGUGAGCGUUCAGUACAAAACAUGCUUUUUCCACAGAAAACACUUUCUUUGAACUUGGUAACAGAUUUUUAGCAACCUACCAACUCCAGGCACUAGAAAGUACAGCCUUAGCUAUUAAACUGUCUUUGAAAUUUAUCCCUCAAUUGCCAAGAAGUGCUCAGAUACUCUUCAGCCAGCCUAAGGAUCCCUGAAAGCAGCAUCUUUUCUCUCUCUCUCUCUCUCUCUCUCUCUCUCUCUCUCUCUCUCUCUGUUUUUGUCUUAAAUGUAUCUUUUGAGAGUGUAAGUGUGGACUUUUCAUGAGUCUUCCCAUCCCCCAGACUAAACCAGAUCCCAAGUCUCUGUCAUAGGUUUUGUUUUGGAAAACUUGGUUGCAGAUGGAUGGCCUAGGAGCUUCAAAGAGAGCAUACAUGGUUCUAUAACUUUUGCUAGUAUAAUGACUGACAUG